AUUGAACGCUGGCGGCAGGCCUAACACAUGCAAGUCGAGCGGAUGAAGGGAGCUUGCUCCUGGAUUCAGCGGCGGACGGGUGAGUAAUGCCUAGGAAUCUGCCUGGUAGUGGGGGAUAACGUCCGGAAACGGGCGCUAAUACCGCAUACGUCCUGAGGGAGAAAGUGGGGGAUCUUCGGACCUCACGCUAUCAGAUGAGCCUAGGUCGGAGUAGCUAGUUGGUGGGGUAAAGGCCUACCAAGGCGACGAUCCGUAACUGGUCUGAGAGGAUGAUCAGUCACACUGGAACUGAGACACGGUCCAGACUCCUACGGGAGGCAGCAGUGGGGAAUAUUGGACAAUGGGCGAAAGCCUGGUCCAGCCAUGCCGCGUGUGUGAAGAAGGUCUUCGGAUUGUAAAGCACUUUAAGGUGGGAGGAAGGGCAGUAAGUUAAGACCUUGCUGGUUUGACGUUACCAACAGAAUAAGCACCGGCUAACUUCGUG
RNAcentral lists this ribosomal RNA (484 nucleotides) under uncultured bacterium. RNAcentral describes it as "partial 16S ribosomal RNA". It matches the Rfam family "Bacterial small subunit ribosomal RNA", at positions 30 to 507 of the family's 1533-position model. The record is from RNAcentral.